This 252-nucleotide ribosomal RNA is filed under the name uncultured bacterium. Its description in RNAcentral is "partial 16S ribosomal RNA". It matches the Rfam family "Bacterial small subunit ribosomal RNA", at positions 524 to 776 of the family's 1533-position model. The record is from RNAcentral.
UACGUAGGGGGCGAGCGUUGUCCGGCUUUAUUGGGCGUAAAGGGUGCGCAGGCGGCCAUGUAAGUCAGGUGUGCACUUCUAUAGCUUAACUAUAGUAAGCACUUGAAACUGUGUGGCUUGAGUUAAGGAGAGGAAAGUGGAAUUCCUAGUGUAGCGGUGAAAUGCGUAGAUAGUAGGAGGAAUACCAGUGGCGAAGGCGACUUUCUGGACUUAUACUGACGCUGAGGUACGAAAGCGUGGGGAGCAAACAGG